This is a long non-coding RNA of Pristis pectinata (smalltooth sawfish), 468 nucleotides long. RefSeq lists it as uncharacterized. The transcript is spliced from 3 exons. NCBI's taxonomy places the organism in Eukaryota, Metazoa, Chordata, Chondrichthyes, Rhinopristiformes, Pristidae. The record is from RefSeq and is a predicted model, not a curated record.
UUCACAGGCGCGGAAUGUGGGCGGGCUGACUCCAGGCCUCCUGCCUCACAGAGACGGGGACAGGUCUCCCCAGUCCCAUCGCGGCCGGGCCUCACAGUGCACACCAGAGACGGCCGGGCUCCCCGAGUCUCGGCCAGAGAGGCAACGUGCUGGUGAACCUCUCCUGUACCCUGUCCAGAGCCUCCACAUCCUUCCUAUAGUAUGGUGGUGAGAACUGCAAGCAAAACUCCAAAUGAGGCCUAGCCAAAGUUUUAUACAGCUGCAACAUGACUUCCCAACUUUUAUACUCAACACCCUGACCAAUGAAGGCAAAGACUGCUGAACAUAGGAGACCAGAUUCUAAAUGGAUCACUACUUGAAGGAAAGAAGUGGGAAAAAACAAAUGAAUGGAAGAAAACACCACGGAUUGUAAACUGUCUUCCCUAAUAACAUGCUGUACCCAUUACUCAUCUUCUAUUUCUCAAUACA